This 35-nucleotide small RNA is filed under the name Arabidopsis thaliana (thale cress). RNAcentral's name for it is "ATSL044630". The record is from RNAcentral. Lineage: Eukaryota; Viridiplantae; Streptophyta; Magnoliopsida; Brassicales; Brassicaceae.
AUUCUUCGUCAUUGUUCAUCUUCCACCAUUUUUUC